UGGGGAAUAUUGGACAAUGGGCGAAAGCCUGAUCCAGCCAUGCCGCGUGUGUGAAGAAGGUCUUCGGAUUGUAAAGCACUUUAGGUUGGGAGGAAGGGCAUUAACCUAAUACGUUAGUGUUUUGACGUUACCGACAGAAUAAGCACCGGCUAACUCUGUGCCAGCAGCCGCGGUAAUACAGAGGGUGCAAGCGUUAAUCGGAAUUACUGGGCGUAAAGCGCGCGUAGGUGGUUUGUUAAGUUGGAUGUGAAAUCCCCGGGCUCAACCUGGGAACUGCAUUCAAAACUGACUGACUAGAGUAUGGUAGAGGGUGGUGGAAUUUCCUGUGUAGCGGUGAAAUGCGUAGAUAUAGGAAGGAACACCAGUGGCGAAGGCGACCACCUGGACUAAUACUGACACUGAGGUGCGAAAGCGUGGGGAGCAAACA
This 427-nucleotide ribosomal RNA is filed under the name uncultured bacterium. RNAcentral's name for it is "partial 16S ribosomal RNA". It matches the Rfam family "Bacterial small subunit ribosomal RNA", at positions 355 to 774 of the family's 1533-position model. The record is from RNAcentral.